RNAcentral lists this unclassified non-coding RNA (348 nucleotides) under uncultured fungus. Its description in RNAcentral is "partial contains 5.8S ribosomal RNA and internal transcribed spacer 2". The stretch from base 1 to 134 matches the Rfam family "5.8S ribosomal RNA", at positions 22 to 154 of the family's 154-position model. Lineage: Eukaryota; Fungi. The record is from RNAcentral.
UGGUUCUGGCAUCGAUGAAGAACGCAGCGAAAUGCGAUAAGUAAUGCGAAUUGCAGAAUUUCCGUGAGUCAUCGAAUCUUUGAACGCACAUUGCGCCCUUUGGCAUUCCGAAGGGCAUGCCUGUCCGAGCGUCAUUAUCCUCCCUCAAACCCCCGUGUUUGAUGUUGGGCCACGGCGGAGGCUUCUUUGGCCUCUCCCGCCGGGCCCCAAAGACAAUGACGGCGUCCGUGGGACCCUCUUCGCACCGAGCUUUCCGGAGCACGCGUCGAGUCUCAAGGUCCCGGGGACCCGGUCACCUCUUUUUCAACUUCUCAGGUUGACCUCGGAUCAGGUAGGGAUACCCGCUGA